RNAcentral lists this ribosomal RNA (497 nucleotides) under uncultured bacterium. RNAcentral's name for it is "partial 16S ribosomal RNA". It matches the Rfam family "Bacterial small subunit ribosomal RNA", at positions 28 to 507 of the family's 1533-position model. The record is from RNAcentral.
GAUGAACGCUGGCGGCGUGCCUAAUACAUGCAAGUCGAGCGAACGGACGAGAAGCUUGCUUCUCUGAUGUUAGCGGCGGACGGGUGAGUAACACGUGGAUAACCUACCUAUAAGACUGGGAUAACUUCGGGACACCGGAGCUAAUACCGGAUAAUAUUUUGAACCGCAUGGUUCAAAAGUGAAAGACGGUCUUGCUGUCACUUAUAGAUGGAUCCGCGCUGCAUUAGCUAGUUGGUAAGGUAACGGCUUACCAAGGCAACGAUGCAUAGCCGACCUGAGAGGGUGAUCGGCCACACUGGAACUGAGACACGGUCCAGACUCCUACGGGAGGCAGCAGUAGGGAAUCUUCCGCAAUGGGCGAAAGCCUGACGGAGCAACGCCGCGUGAGUGAUGAAGGUCUUCGGAUCGUAAAACUCUGUUAUUAGGGAAGAACAUAUGUGUAAGUAACUGUGCACAUCUUGACGGUACCUGAUCAGAAAGCCACGGCUAACUACGUG